This 391-nucleotide long non-coding RNA is filed under the name Mytilus galloprovincialis (Mediterranean mussel). Lineage: Eukaryota; Metazoa; Mollusca; Bivalvia; Mytilida; Mytilidae. The record is from RNAcentral.
UGUGUUGGUCUCAUUACGUUUCAAGCUGAACAGAAAGAGGCAAUGAAUAUUAAUAACAAACAGAUGAAAGCAAUAUCUCAGCAACUUCAGCAGUCUGAAGACAGGAUAGACCACAAGGCUAGUAAUAAUUGCUUGGCGGAAUUGAUGGUCAGACCAAUAAGAUAUUCAAUGUUGUGGUGAGACGAAUGGACAAGCUGACAACAACUGAGGAAGGAGACACAGUUCUAUUUAAAAGUGCAUUUGAACAGCAGGGUACCUUCCAACAACUGGCAUCUGUUGUGAAUGAAUCAGUGGACAAUCGAAAUAAAGAAGUUAAUAUUUCUGCAAUGGACACAUCAUCUAAGCCAAAAUUUGACCUUAGCCAGUACAACGCAAGUUUACCAAAAGUACA